This 78-nucleotide small RNA is filed under the name Kaistella treverensis. Its description in RNAcentral is "Chryseobacterium sp. IMMIB L-1519 Flavo-1 RNA". It matches the Rfam family "Flavo-1 RNA". Lineage: Bacteria; Pseudomonadati; Bacteroidota; Flavobacteriia; Flavobacteriales; Weeksellaceae. The record is from Rfam by way of RNAcentral.
CCCUAGCCCCGAUUGCAGUGGCAUCCCCCGGCGAGGUUGCAACCGAAGCCGGGGAUAAAACGGAAAGCGGGUUGUAAU